CAUCAAAGGAGUCCCAGAAGAAGAAGAGAAGAGAAAAGGAGCAGAAGGUUUAUUUGAGGAAAUCGUAGCUGAAACUUCCCUAAUCUGCAGAAGGGAACAGACAUCCAUAUCAAGG
This is a long non-coding RNA of Mustela erminea (ermine), 115 nucleotides long. RefSeq lists it as uncharacterized. NCBI's taxonomy places the organism in Eukaryota, Metazoa, Chordata, Mammalia, Carnivora, Mustelidae. The transcript has 3 exons. The record is from RefSeq and is a predicted model, not a curated record.